UCUCCGUAGGUGAACCUGCGGAGGGAUCAUUACUGAGUGAGGGCUUCGGUCCGACUUCCAACCCUUUGUGAACCAAACUUGUUGCUUCGGGGGCGACCCUGCCGCUUCGGCGGUGCGGCGCCCCCGGAGGCCAUUAAACACUGCAUCAUUGCGUCGGAGUUAAAGAAAAUUAAACAAAACUUUCAACAACGGGUCUCUUGGUUCCAGCAUAGAUGAAGAAAGCAGC
RNAcentral lists this unclassified non-coding RNA (226 nucleotides) under uncultured fungus. RNAcentral's name for it is "sequence contains ITS1, 5.8S rRNA gene". The record is from RNAcentral. Lineage: Eukaryota; Fungi.